Long non-coding RNA from Amphimedon queenslandica, 1101 nucleotides. RefSeq lists it as uncharacterized. NCBI's taxonomy places the organism in Eukaryota, Metazoa, Porifera, Demospongiae, Haplosclerida, Niphatidae. The record is from RefSeq and is a predicted model, not a curated record. The transcript has 3 exons.
UUAGCCAUGAAUACAUGUAUAAGACGCAGUAAAAAAUUGAGUUAUUAAUGUAUCAUAUUUUAUCUUACUUCAGUAACCAUUCUGGAAGGUGUAUUAUAUAAUGAAUUUUAGGAAUUAUAGAAGCAUUAGGGUAAAGCUGACAGAAAUUUUCAUGUUCUCUUAUUAAGUCUUUUAAAUAAGGAACAACAUCCUCUGAUGUGACUGGUCCAAACACAUAUUCAACAAUUGUUAGCAAAAGCAAGAAGUUUUCCUAGUGAGGUUCACCUACAGGUAUGAACUCUCCAACUAAUAAAGGCAACAAUCUGGCCAAGCACCACAUUUGUGUUGCUAUAAUAGAAUGAGGUAUAACUCUGAAUCAUGCAUCAUAAUUAACAUACCUGAUUGCUUUAGACUAUGAUCAUGAGAAGUAAGAGUAAUGAUUGAAGGUUUAUUUGAACUAUCACAAUAUCCUUAAGGAAAACUUUCAAUUUGUUGAUUCAAAAAUGAGAGUGGAAUAAGUCAUCUUUCUUGUGUUACGUGUAUCAGCAACUCUUUAGUCUCAUAUUGUAAAGCACCUUCCAAUAUAUCAUGCAUAAUGUCAGGUGCAAGACCUUCAGUCACAUGAAAGCCAAGAAUUGCUCACCAUCUAAAAGUAUUCCGUGAUACAUACAGUCAGCACCGUUUAAGGACAGAGAACAAUAUGUGCCCCUUACAAUUAUGGAUUAGUGGAAUGGCAAUGUUGCAUGAUGAUACUGAAAAUGAUUUUUUUCCAUUUGACACACAUUAUGGUGUAGACUGGGAUGGUCCUGCUGUUUUAGAUAAUGAAGACAUUACUGUUCCACCAGAGAAUUGCCCUCUUAGUGAAGAACAGCUAGCUUUAUUGAAGCAAAGUGUGGACCCUUUGCAAGACUGUGAAGAUUAUGGAGUGCCAUUAUAUGUAGCUGUUCGCAAUUUUGUUUAUGCUGCUAUUGCUUGAAGUACUCUUUUUUCAAUUGUUGUAGGUAUUGUUAAAUGAACACAGAGAUUCAUAUUUAGCAUUGAACCUAAAGGUUUAUAAUGUUAUUAUCUAUUAAAAUUGAAUGUGUUUCAUACUCAUUAUCAUACUUUUCAUUGUAAUUAUGA